GACGAACGCUGGCGGCGUGCUUAACACAUGCAAGUCGAACGGAAAGGCCCUGCUUUUUUGGGGUGCUCGAGUGGCGAACGGGUGAGUAACACGUGAGUAACCUGCCCUUGACUUUGGGAUAACUUCAGGAAACUGGGGCUAAUACCGGAUAGGAGCUCCUGCUGCAUGGUGGGGGUUGGAAAGUUUCGGCGGUUGGGGAUGGACUCGCGGCUAAUCAGCUUGUUGGUGGGGUAGUGGCUGACCAAGUCUUUGACGGGUAGCCGGCCUGAGAGGGUGACCGGCCACCAUGGGACUGAGAUACGGACCAGACUCCUAUGGGAGGCAGCAGUGGGGAAUAUUGCACAAUGGGCGGAAGUCUGAUGCAGAGACGCCGCGGGCGUGAUGACGGUCUUCGGGUUGUAAACCGCUUUCGCCUGUGACGAAGCGUGAGUGACGGUAAUGGGUAAAGAAGCACCGGCUAACUACGUG
This 468-nucleotide ribosomal RNA is filed under the name uncultured bacterium. RNAcentral's name for it is "partial 16S ribosomal RNA". It matches the Rfam family "Bacterial small subunit ribosomal RNA", at positions 28 to 507 of the family's 1533-position model. The record is from RNAcentral.